AUCCAACUGACGAGUCCCAGUAAACGGAACGCGCGUCCUGGAU
Molecule: non-coding RNA, 43 nt
Filed under: Schistosoma mansoni
Lineage: Eukaryota; Metazoa; Platyhelminthes; Trematoda; Strigeidida; Schistosomatidae
Source: RNAcentral